GGCGGCGUGCCUAAUACAUGCAAGUCGAACGAACUUCCGUUAAUUGAUCAGGACGUGCUUGCACUGAAUGAGAUUUUAACACGAAGUGAGUGGCGGACGGGUGAGUAACACGUGGGUAACCUGCCCAGAAGCAGGGGAUAACACCUGGAAACAGAUGCUAAUACCGUAUAACAGAGAAAACCGCCUGGUUUUCUUUUAAAAGAUGGCUCUGCUAUCACUUCUGGAUGGACCCGCGGCGCAUUAGCUAGUUGGUGAGGUAACGGCUCACCAAGGCGAUGAUGCGUAGCCGACCUGAGAGGGUAAUCGGCCACAUUGGGACUGAGACACGGCCCAGACUCCUACGGGAGGCAGCAGUAGGGAAUCUUCCACAAUGGACGCAAGUCUGAUGGAGCAACGCCGCGUGAGUGAAGAAGGGUUUCGGCUCGUAAAGCUCUGUUGUUAAAGAAGAACGUGGGUGAGAGUAACUGUUCACCCAGUGACGGUAUUUAACCAGAAAGCCACGGCUAACUACGUGCCAGCAGCCGCGGUAAUACGUAGGUGGCAAGCGUUAUCCGGAUUUAUUGGGCGUAAAGCGAGCGCAGGCGGUCUUUUAAGUCUAAUGUGAAAGCCUUCGGCUCAACCGAAGAAGUGCAUUGGAAACUGGGAGACUUGAGUGCAGAAGAGGACAGUGGAACUCCAUGUGUAGCGGUGAAAUGCGUAGAUAUAUGGAAGAACACCAGUGGCGAAGGCGGCUGUCUGGUCUGUAACUGACGCUGAGGCUCGAAAGCAUGGGUAGCGAACAGGAUUAGAUACCCUGGUAGUCCAUGCCGUAAACGAUGAUUACUAAGUGUUGGAGGGUUUCCGCCCUUCAGUGCUGCAGCUAACGCAUUAAGUAAUCCGCCUGGGGAGUACGACCGCAAGGUUGAAACUCAAAAGAAUUGACAGGGGCCCGCACAAGCGGUGGAGCAUGUGGUUUAAUUCGAAGCUACGCGAAGAACCUUACCAGGUCUUGAC
RNAcentral lists this ribosomal RNA (993 nucleotides) under Pediococcus acidilactici. Its description in RNAcentral is "bacterial SSU rRNA". It matches the Rfam family "Bacterial small subunit ribosomal RNA", at positions 38 to 985 of the family's 1533-position model. The record is from RNAcentral. Lineage: Bacteria; Bacillati; Bacillota; Bacilli; Lactobacillales; Lactobacillaceae.